RNAcentral lists this unclassified non-coding RNA (349 nucleotides) under soil metagenome. RNAcentral's name for it is "partial contains 5.8S ribosomal RNA, internal transcribed spacer 2, and large subunit ribosomal RNA". The stretch from base 1 to 120 matches the Rfam family "5.8S ribosomal RNA", at positions 35 to 154 of the family's 154-position model. The record is from RNAcentral.
GAUGAAGAACGUAGCGAAAUGCGAUAAGUAAUGUGAAUUGCAGAAUUCAGUGAAUCAUCGAAUCUUUGAACGCACAUUGCGCCCGCCAGUAUUCUGGCGGGCAUGCCUGUCCGAGCGUCAUUUCAACCCUCGGGACCCUUCGGGGAACCGGUGUUGGGGACCCGUCCGCCGACCCACGGCGGCCGGCCCCGAAAUACAGUGGCGGCACUGCGGCGACCUCCUCUGCGUAGUAGCGAUACCUCGCAGCUGGAAAGCGGCAGCGGCCACGCCGUAAAACCCCCACGUCUAUGGUUGACCUCGGAUCAGGUAGGAAUACCCGCUGAACUUAAGCAUAUCAAUAAGCGGAGGA